Molecule: ribosomal RNA, 236 nt
Filed under: uncultured bacterium
Lineage: Bacteria
Description: partial 16S ribosomal RNA
Rfam family: Bacterial small subunit ribosomal RNA
Source: RNAcentral
UACGUAGGGUGCAAGCGUUGUCCGGAAUUAUUGGGCGUAAAGAGCUCGUAGGCGGUUUGUCGCGUCUGCUGUGAAAACCUAGGGCAUAACCCUGGGCCUGCAGUGGGUACGGGCAGACUAGAGUGCGGUAGGGGAGACUGGAAUUCCUGGUGUAGCGGUGAAAUGCGCAGAUAUCAGGAGGAACACCGGUGGCGAAGGCGGGUCUCUGGGCCGUAACUGACGCUGGAGGAGCGAAA